AGAGUUUGAUCAUGGUUCAGGAUGAACGCUAGCGGCAGGCUUAACACAUGCAAGUCGAGGGGCAUCGCGGGUAGUGAUACUUGGCGGCGACCGGCGGAAGGGUGCGUAACGCGUGAGCAACAUGCCCGUAUCAGGGGGAUAAACCAGGGAAACUUGGUCUAAUACCCCAUAAUAAAUUCAGGAGACAUCUUUUGGGUUUUAAAAUUACGAUGGAUACGGAUUGGCUCGCGUGACAUUAGCUAGUGGGUAAGGUAACGGCUUACCAAGGCGAUGAUGUCUAGGGGUUCUGAGAGGAAGAUCCCCCACACUGGAACUGAGACACGGUCCAGACUCCUACGGGAGGCAGCAGUGAGGAAUAUUGGACAAUGGAUGGAAAUCUGAUCCAGCCAUGCCGCGUGCAGGAAGACAGCCCUAUGGGUUUUAAACUGCUUUUGUAUGGGAGCAAUAAGGUCUAUGCGUAGAUCGAUGAGAGUACCAUACGAAUAAGGAUCGGCUAACUCCGUGCCAGCAGCCGCGGUAAUAC
Molecule: ribosomal RNA, 523 nt
Filed under: uncultured Bacteroidota bacterium
Lineage: Bacteria; Pseudomonadati; Bacteroidota
Description: bacterial SSU rRNA
Rfam family: Bacterial small subunit ribosomal RNA
Source: RNAcentral